UAUCUCUGUAGAGUCUGCAUAUCAAUAAGCGGAGGAAAAGAAACUAACUAGGAUUCCCUCAGUAACGGCGAGUGAAGCGGGAAGAGCUCAAAUUUGAAAUCUUCAAGGUUCUACCUUGACGAAUUGUAGUUUAAAGAAGUGUUUUCUGUUGGAGUUUUGGUAAAAGUUCUUUGGAAUAGGACAUCAUAGAGGGUGAGAAUCCCGUAUUUGACCAUGACUUUCCAGCUGUGUGAUACACUUUCAAAGAGUCGGAUUGUUUGGGAAUGCAGUCCAAAAUGGGUGGUAAAUUUCAUCUAAAGCUAAAUAUUGGCGAGAGACCGAUAGCGAACAAGUACCGUGAGGGAAAGAUGAAAAGAACUUUGAAAAGAGAGUUAAACAGUACGUGAAAUUGUCAAAAGGGAAGCGUUUGACACCAGUGUUGUUUUCUCGAAAAUCAAUUAAAAAUGGCAGGAUUUUGUGUUGUAUUGACUUUAUCAGCUUUCUGCACUCUUUUCAUGUCUUUUUUAAUGCACUUUUCGUUUAACAAGUCAACAUCAAUUUCCUUUUGUUGUAAAAAGGGUCAUUGGAAGGUGGCUUUCUUUUCGGAGAAAGUGUUUAUAGCCUUUGACUCCUGCAAUCGGAGAGACUGAGGUCUGCAGCGUAUGAUCCUUCUGGGAUUAGAUUACAUUUGUGCUAAGUUACUAAGCCGUUUAUAGACAACUUGUUGACUAUGAUUCAGAUCCUGUAGCUUACUCGCUUAUGUAUUUUACCUACGCUUAGGAUGUUGAGUCAUCACACAUCUCU
Molecule: ribosomal RNA, 783 nt
Filed under: uncultured Neocallimastigales
Lineage: Eukaryota; Fungi; Neocallimastigomycota; Neocallimastigomycetes; Neocallimastigales
Description: partial large subunit ribosomal RNA
Rfam family: Eukaryotic large subunit ribosomal RNA
Source: RNAcentral